This 497-nucleotide ribosomal RNA is filed under the name uncultured bacterium. Its description in RNAcentral is "partial 16S ribosomal RNA". It matches the Rfam family "Bacterial small subunit ribosomal RNA", at positions 28 to 507 of the family's 1533-position model. The record is from RNAcentral.
GAUGAACGCUGGCGGCGUGCCUAAUGCAUGCAAGUCGAGCGAACAGACGAGGAGCUUGCUCCUCUGACGUUAGCGGCGGACGGGUGAGUAACACGUGGAUAACCUACCUAUAAGACUGGGAUAACUUCGGGAAACCGGAGCUAAUACCGGAUAAUAUAUUGAACCGCAUGGUUCAAUAGUGAAAGACGGUUUUGCUGUCACUUAUAGAUGGAUCCGCGCCGCAUUAGCUAGUUGGUAAGGUAACGGCUUACCAAGGCAACGAUGCGUAGCCGACCUGAGAGGGUGAUCGGCCACACUGGAACUGAGACACGGUCCAGACUCCUACGGGAGGCAGCAGUAGGGAAUCUUCCGCAAUGGGCGAAAGCCUGACGGAGCAACGCCGCGUGAAUGAUGAAGGUCUUCGGAUCGUAAAACUCUGUUAUUAGGGAAGAACAAAUGUGUAAGUAACUAUGCACGUCUUGACGGUACCUAAUCAGAAAGCCACGGCUAACUACGUG